CCUACGGGAGGCAGCAGUGGGGAAUAUUGCGCAAUGGGCGAAAGCCUGACGCAGCGACGCCGCGUGAGUGAAGAAGUAAUUCGUUAUGUAAAGCUCUAUCAGCAGGGAAGAAAAUGACGGUACCUGAGUAAGAAGCCCCGGCUAACUACGUGCCAGCAGCCGCGGUAAUCCGUAGGGGGCAAGCGUUAUCCGGAUUUACUGGGUGUAAAGGGAGCGUAGACGGCAGUGCAAGUCUGGAGUGAAAGGCGGGGGCUCAACCCCCGGACUGCUCUGGAAACUGUACGGCUGGAGUGCAGGAGAGGUAAGUGGAAUUCCUAGUGUAGCGGUGAAAUGCGUAGAUAUUAGGAGGAACACCAGUUGCGAAGGCGGCUUACUGGACUGUAACUGACGUUGAGGCUCGAAAGCGUGGGGAGCAAACAGGAUUAGAUACCCCUGUAGUC
RNAcentral lists this ribosomal RNA (440 nucleotides) under uncultured bacterium. RNAcentral's name for it is "partial 16S ribosomal RNA". It matches the Rfam family "Bacterial small subunit ribosomal RNA", at positions 338 to 795 of the family's 1533-position model. The record is from RNAcentral.